Molecule: ribosomal RNA, 218 nt
Filed under: uncultured Glomeromycotina
Lineage: Eukaryota; Fungi; Glomeromycota
Description: partial small subunit ribosomal RNA
Rfam family: Eukaryotic small subunit ribosomal RNA (bases 48-218)
Source: RNAcentral
GGGUUCACCCAUCGGUCAGGCUUAAUUGUCUGUACUGGUAAGAUGAGUCUCAACCUUCUAAGGAACUUUCAUGCCAUUUAUUUGGUGUGACUGGAAAUCAGGACUGUUACUUUGAAAAAAUUAGAGUGUUUAAAGCAGGCUAACGUCUGAAUACAUUAGCAUGGAAUAAUGAAAUAGGACGGACUGAUUCUAUUUCGUUAGUUUCUAGGAUCACCGUA